CCUUUCGGGGUCGAUAAAUUAAGCACCAGUUGAGUAGUGGGGGGGGGGGCGUCCAUGUAACCGACUUGCCCCAUCCCUCAAGAUUUCAGGCCAUAUGCCUAUAGCAGAAAGGAUUAUUAUUAUCAUUAUUAUUAUUUUUAUUUUUAUUAUUAUUAUUAUCAUUAUUAUUAUUAUUAUUAUUUUAUUAUUAUUAUUAUUCCUUUCAAAAAAAU
Molecule: long non-coding RNA, 212 nt
Organism: Octopus sinensis (East Asian common octopus)
Lineage: Eukaryota; Metazoa; Mollusca; Cephalopoda; Octopoda; Octopodidae
Exons: 3
Source: RefSeq, a predicted model, not a curated record